Molecule: long non-coding RNA, 529 nt
Filed under: Brassica napus (rape)
Lineage: Eukaryota; Viridiplantae; Streptophyta; Magnoliopsida; Brassicales; Brassicaceae
Description: long non-coding RNA (BNAP_LNC009683)
Source: RNAcentral
UGAUCGCUGUGAGCACACACAUUUAUAGGAAGAGCUUGUGUAGGUUACUUUGGAAGAUGCUGAGAUCGAUUAAAUGCUAGAGAGUGGAAGGAGUAUAAUCACGUAAAUGCUAGGAUUAAAGAAGUAGGUAAAUGAAAGUUUCAGACGUUACAGAGGCGUCUUGAUCCGAAGGGAGACGACUGUUGUGUUAUUUAUCUCAAACUUACAGACGUGGGCCUAACCAAAACGUAAGUAUAAAGCCCAAUUCCAGAUAACUUAUUUCACGACGAUAAACGUGAGAUGAUUAAUUCCGCUAGGUGUCCAAAUUUGCCCCAUGAAGCACUGAUAACGUGGCAGCAGGAGAAGAGAGAAAAGCUUGUUUUAUUGUUAUAGAUAUUAAAAAUAUAUUCAGUUUAAAAUUAACAACAAGAAAAGGACGGGCUUUCUAGUUUCCAUGCAACUUAGUAAUUAGUUUUGGGGCUGUUCAAUAUGGUAAAACCGAACCGUACCGAACCGAACCGAACCGGAAUAGACAAUAUGGUUUGGUUUU